UACGUAGGGUGCGAGCGUUAAUCGGAAUUACUGGGCGUAAAGCGUGCGCAGGCGGUUUGUUAAGACAGAUGUGAAAUCCCCGGGCUUAACCUGGGAACUGCAUUUGUGACUGGCAAGCUAGAGUAUGGCAGAGGGGGGUAGAAUUCCACGUGUAGCAGUGAAAUGCGUAGAGAUGUGGAGGAAUACCGAUGGCGAAGGCAGCCCCCUGGGCCAAUACUGACGCUCAUGCACGAAAGCGUGGGGAGCAACCAGG
This 253-nucleotide ribosomal RNA is filed under the name uncultured bacterium. RNAcentral's name for it is "partial 16S ribosomal RNA". It matches the Rfam family "Bacterial small subunit ribosomal RNA", at positions 524 to 776 of the family's 1533-position model. The record is from RNAcentral.